Molecule: transfer RNA, 54 nt
Filed under: Acrochordus granulatus (little file snake)
Lineage: Eukaryota; Metazoa; Chordata; Lepidosauria; Squamata; Acrochordidae
Description: tRNA-Cys
Source: RNAcentral
AGCCCCGAUUUUGCCAGAUUGCAAAUCCGGAAAAGGCGAAUUUGCCCGGGGCUU